Molecule: ribosomal RNA, 248 nt
Filed under: uncultured bacterium
Lineage: Bacteria
Description: partial 16S ribosomal RNA
Rfam family: Bacterial small subunit ribosomal RNA
Source: RNAcentral
UACGGGGGGGGCAAGCGUUGUUCGGAAUUACUGGGCGUAAAGGGCUCGUAGGCGGCUUUCUAAGUCAGGGGUGAAAUCCUGGAGCUCAACUCCAGAACUGCCUUUGAUACUGGAGAGCUUGAGUCCGGGAGAGGUGAGUGGAACUCCGAGUGUAGAGGUGAAAUUCGUAGAUAUUCGGAAGAACACCAGUGGCGAAGGCGGCUCACUGGCCCGGUACUGACGCUGAGGUGCGAAAGCGUGGGGAGCAA